AGCGAACGCUGGCGGCAGGCUUAACACAUGCAAGUCGAACGCCCCGCAAGGGGAGUGGCAGACGGGUGAGUAACACGUGGGAACGUACCCUUUGGUUCGGAAUAACUUGGGGAAACUCAAGCUAAUACCGGAUAAGCCCUUAUGGGGAAAGGUUUACUGCCGAAGGAUCGGCCCGCGUCUGAUUAGCUAGUUGGUGAGGUAAUGGCUCACCAAGGCGACGAUCAGUAGCUGGUCUGAGGGGAUGAUCAGCCACACUGGGACUGAGACACGGCCCAGACUCCUACGGGAGGCAGCAGUGGGGAAUAUUGGACAAUGGGGGCAACCCUGAUCCAGCCAUGCCGCGUGAGUGAUGAAGGCCUUAGGGUUGUAAAGCUCUUUACCCGGGACGAUAAUGUCUGUACCGGGAGAAUAAGCCCCGGCUAACUUCGUGCCAGCCGCCGCAGUAA
Molecule: ribosomal RNA, 446 nt
Filed under: uncultured bacterium
Lineage: Bacteria
Description: partial 16S ribosomal RNA
Rfam family: Bacterial small subunit ribosomal RNA
Source: RNAcentral